RNAcentral lists this ribosomal RNA (468 nucleotides) under uncultured bacterium. Its description in RNAcentral is "partial 16S ribosomal RNA". It matches the Rfam family "Bacterial small subunit ribosomal RNA", at positions 28 to 507 of the family's 1533-position model. The record is from RNAcentral.
GACGAACGCUGGCGGCGUGCUUAACACAUGCAAGUCGAACGGAAAGGCCCUGCUUUUGUGGGGUGCUCGAGUGGCGAACGGGUGAGUAACACGUGAGUAACCUGCCCUUGACUUUGUGAUAACUUCAGGAAACUGGGGCUCAUACCGGAUAGGAGCUCCUGCUGCAUGGUGGGGGUUGGAAAGUUUCGGCGGUUGGGGAUGGACUCGCGGCUUAUCAGCUUGUUGGUGGGGUAGUGGCUUACCAAGGCUUUGACGGGUAGCCGGCCUGAGAGGGUGACCGGCGACAGUGGGACUGAGAUACGGACCAGACUCCUACGGGAGGCAGAAGUGGGGAAUAUUGCACAAUGGGGGGAAGCCUGAUGCAGCAACGCCGCGUGCGGGAUGACGGCCUUCGGGUUGUAAACCGCUUUCGCCUGUGACGAAGCGUGAGUGACGGUAAUGGGUAAAGAAGCACCGGCUAACUACGUG